Molecule: transfer RNA, 21 nt
Filed under: Sciurus vulgaris fuscoater
Lineage: Eukaryota; Metazoa; Chordata; Mammalia; Rodentia; Sciuridae
Description: partial tRNA-Glu
Source: RNAcentral
GUUUUUAUAGUUGAAUUACAA